UACGUAGGGUGCGAGCGUUGUCCGGAAUUAUUGGGCGUAAAGAGCUUGUAGGCGGUUUGUCGCGUCUGCCGUGAAAUUUCGGGGCUCAACCCCGAACUUGCGGUGGGUACGGGCAGACUAGAGUGUGGUAGGGGAGACUGGAAUUCCUGGUGUAGCGGUGAAAUGCGCAGAUAUCGAGAGGAACACCUGCGGCGAAGGCGGGUUGCUGGGCUGACACUGACGCUGAACUGCGAAAGCUAGGGGAGCGAACGGG
This 253-nucleotide ribosomal RNA is filed under the name uncultured bacterium. RNAcentral's name for it is "partial 16S ribosomal RNA". It matches the Rfam family "Bacterial small subunit ribosomal RNA", at positions 524 to 776 of the family's 1533-position model. The record is from RNAcentral.